This 632-nucleotide ribosomal RNA is filed under the name Vibrio parahaemolyticus. Its description in RNAcentral is "partial 23S ribosomal RNA". It matches the Rfam family "Bacterial large subunit ribosomal RNA", at positions 2299 to 2925 of the family's 2925-position model. Lineage: Bacteria; Pseudomonadati; Pseudomonadota; Gammaproteobacteria; Vibrionales; Vibrionaceae. The record is from RNAcentral.
AACGGAGGAGCACGAAGGUGGGCUAAUCACGGUUGGACAUCGUGAGGUUAGUGCAAUGGCAUAAGCCCGCUUGACUGCGAGAAUGACAAUUCGAGCAGGUGCGAAAGCAGGUCAUAGUGAUCCGGUGGUUCUGAAUGGAAGGGCCAUCGCUCAACGGAUAAAAGGUACUCCGGGGAUAACAGGCUGAUACCGCCCAAGAGUUCAUAUCGACGGCGGUGUUUGGCACCUCGAUGUCGGCUCAUCACAUCCUGGGGCUGAAGUCGGUCCCAAGGGUAUGGCUGUUCGCCAUUUAAAGUGGUACGCGAGCUGGGUUUAGAACGUCGUGAGACAGUUCGGUCCCUAUCUGCCGUGGGCGUUGGAAGAUUGAAGGGGGCUGCUCCUAGUACGAGAGGACCGGAGUGGACGAACCUCUGGUGUUCGGGUUGUGUCGCCAGACGCAUUGCCCGGUAGCUAAGUUCGGAAUCGAUAACCGCUGAAAGCAUCUAAGCGGGAAGCGAGCCCUGAGAUGAGUCUUCCCUGAUACUUUAAGUAUCCUAAAGGGUUGUCGGAGACUACGACGUUGAUAGGUCAGGUGUGUAAGUGCUGUGAGGCAUUGAGCUAACUGAUACUAAUUGCCCGUGAGGCUUAACCAU